GUCGGGAAUUUUGGGCAAUGGGGGAAACCCUGACCCAGCAACGCCGCGUGAGGGAUGAAGGCCUUCGGGUCGUAAACCUCUGUCGGGAGGGACGAAUCCGCUCCGGCGAACAGUCGGAGCGGUUGACGGUACCUCCAAAGGAAGCACCGGCUAACUCCGUGCCAGCAGCCGCGGUAAUACGGAGGGUGCAAGCGUUGUUCGGAAUCAUUGGGCGUAAAGCGCAUGUAGGCGGCUUGGUAAGUCGGAUGUGAAAUCCCGGGGCCCAACCCCGGAACUGCAUUCGAUACUGCCUCGCUGGAGUCCCGGAGAGGAGAGCGGAAUUCCCGGUGUAGAGGUGAAAUUCGUAGAUAUCGGGAGGAACACCAGUGGCGAAGGCGGCUCUCUGGACGGUGACUGACGCUGAGAUGCGAAAGCGUGGGUAGCAAACAGGAUUAGAAACCCUUGUAGUCC
RNAcentral lists this ribosomal RNA (450 nucleotides) under uncultured bacterium. Its description in RNAcentral is "bacterial SSU rRNA". It matches the Rfam family "Bacterial small subunit ribosomal RNA", at positions 354 to 796 of the family's 1533-position model. The record is from RNAcentral.